Molecule: non-coding RNA, 92 nt
Organism: Burkholderia thailandensis
Lineage: Bacteria; Pseudomonadati; Pseudomonadota; Betaproteobacteria; Burkholderiales; Burkholderiaceae
Source: Rfam
UUCAACGGUCGGGCCUUGGCGGGGGUGCCCUCGGGCACGCCGGUUUCCGUUUUCGCCGGUACGCCAACCCUGUCAUGUGCCCGGCCACCCCA